CAUCUUAUCAAGAAAACUGGCAACUCUUCCAUUUUCUCGUACGACCGCAAUGAGGCAGGUACAAUCAAAGAUGAAUACUAAGAUGAAACUGUCGGAAGAAAAACUUUCUAUUUUAGUGUCUUCUUUCAAGGUCCCUUUCAUCCAAUGAGAACCCCCCGUAUUCAAGGUAAUUUUGUGGUUUUGCUGCCCCCUCGGAAGAUAUGAAAUUUUGCGCUCAUUUUUAUCAAAACAAUCACACCAAAAUCAGAGAUUUCCCAUUUUUUAAUUACUCGAUUAACAACUAAUUGAUUUUUUGCUCGCUGUGCUGCCAUUUUUCCACGAAUGAGAGUGCAGCACAUGUUUGAAACGAUCGGUGAUGAUCCUGUGGAGAUGUUAGAGCUUAUAUCGGUAUGAUCUAACCGAUUAUAAAUAGUCUACUUUUCGGUUCGUAAAUCGAUUAAACGAUUAUUCGAAUGAAAAUCGGACAUCACUAGAUGAAUGUGAAACGUCAUUUCAAAUAUAAGGCCGUUCAUAAAUAAUGAUACAAUAUGAAAGGGACCGGGGCUAAUCACAAAUUACGUCUCCAUGGUUACUGAAAUAAACACGAGUGUUCACCGGUUGGUACAAUCGUGUCAUCUGCCGUUCAAAGGUGAAUGCUGCGAACGAACUUGAUAGCAAGGAUUACAUCCUCAGAAGAAAGGUUUGUGUAUUUACUCAUUUUUCUAUGCGUUGCUUCCACCUUCGCUCAAGUGCAGCGCUACUAUAUCUGUCGCUUGGAUUCUGGAAAAGUUUCCAGUCUUCUUGAUAUGAUGUCUUCGGUCGAAUCCAAUUCAAUUUUAAGUUACUCUCAUCGGCCGUGUAAAGCUACACUCAAAAAAUAAAUCACAUUUCCAAUGGAAAAUAUCCAUUAGAAUUCCACACAACUUUCAUGUGAUCUCAUAAUUGGGAAUCGCACUACAAAAUCACAUGAACCUUAUGUGUCCAAAGAAAUUUAUGUGAUUUAUCACAUAGAAUUCAUGUGAUCAUAUGAAUUUUAUGUGAAUUUCAGGUACGAAUCAUUAAUUUUGUUAUUGGAAAAAUAUCAUGUGCGUUCCCAAUGGAAACUAUAUGAAAACUUUUUUCGGUGUAGGAAAAUGUGAGGGAUACGUAAGGAUAGAAAAGGGAUGUUUGGGAUUGGAUUAGAAUUAGGGGAAUUGAGUUGGGAAAGGCAUGAGGAGGUAUCGUCUCCAGUGCAUCCACCACAGUUUUAAUGCUUUGGUUCUGUCAAUUUGUGUCGUGUUAUAAAUAUUUUCUUCCUGUCAAUUUAUUGAUGAUUUGUUAUUAUUGACAGUAACUGUUGUGUUUGCAUUAUUUUCAACAUAUCUCAGUAUCACAGGACACACCCCGACACCGCAAAGCCUAACUUGUAUGCAACAAUAGAUUAAGAGUAAGUAGAUUAUAUGCAAAUGAUUAAUGAUUUAAUAUAAUCUAGAACCGACCCGUUAGAGGGUUCGUUAAACAGACAGUAACAAAGUAAAUAGUAAUGUACCGAAAUAAACUGCCAUUUUGUUCCCGAAUUAUUUAUAAAUUUUAAACUGGAGUUUAUCGCAUAUAUUACGGAAAUGUUGUGAAAUUGAGUUUAGUGCUUAUUUUUGAUAGCUAGCAGCAAAUGACUGAUUUAGAGAAAGCAACAAAAUCAUACGGCACGUGACACAGCUCCGUGAUUAUGCAAUUUUAGGUUAUUUCGAGGGUUAUUUAGGGUGUUGAUUAUGUUCCACCAUCAUACGAUUAUUGAAGCGGAACGAUAACAGUACAAUAGUAAGAAAUUAAUAAUUAUUAUAAUUUAUUUAAUUAUUGCGGAGAUGAUAUCUUGUGAAUCAUGCCGUUCAAUGCAUCCACAUAAUUUAUUCGAAGGAAGUCUUAGUUUAACCCAUAGGUCAAGUUUUUCGAAGUUGAUGAAUAUUUUUAAAUGCUUUAGUUCCCAUAGUUAAUUAAGAUAUGAUAUUCGUUUCUGAUGUAAGGAAAGCUGCUUAAGUUUAGCCGCACACCGUUUGAAACAAUUGUGUAAAAAUUAUAAAUUCAAUACCAAACUAAAUGUAGCUAUUAGGUUGAGUGAUUUUGUUCGUCUGAUUUUAAUUCUAUUUGUGGUUCUUCGAGUACACCCCCGUUUAUAAGGAAUUUGGAAUAAAACAGAUUUAUUAUGUGUAACAGAUACUAUUUAUAACGAUAAACCAGUUAAGUGUAUACAACAAACACUCAGAUAUACUUAAAUGCAAAACACCGAUAGUACUAACACACACACACACACACGUAUUUAGUGAAUAAAUUUGUUAGAUCAAACGUUUUCCUUCCUUCCCCACAAAAUGCUCCGUAUUGGUAGUGUCUCUUUGGUCAUCCAGAAGCACAGGUCGUACUCUGGUCGACUCUUUGUGAAAUAUACACAGUAAACUAUGUUUAUUAUAUUAUCGAGGGAAACAUCUCGCGUUUGAAUGAAACCGCCUCAGUAGUUAGUAUUUCUUUACGAAACUAUAAAUUAGAUUACAAAGCGAGAAUACGGAUAUGCGCAAAUAAACUGCCUGAUGUGUGUACUAUGAUUGAAGCUAGAAGACGAUAGGUCGCAGAAGGGUGAAUUUGGUUGAUGAGCCAUUGGCAUAAUAAUAAGUCGAUGGAGGCUGCAAAGCUAACAUAACAUACCUACCUACCAUUAAAUCGGGUAAAUCAGAAAAGCGGAACAAAGAAUCAAGUUCUAAAAAUAAAAUAAACAAAAGCUAACGUCAAACUGGAGUCUGCGUGCCUCUGGUGGGUCGGUAUUCGCUGAGAGAAAUAAUUGUUAGAAAGUCUUUUGUUGAAGUGAAGGAAAUAUACAUUGUUAUGGAAACUGAUUUGAAGAAUGCGAAACAUGUUUAGUAUGUAGAGAUUGAAUAUCAACAUCAAUUAAACACAUUAUAACAAUAUCGAUGUAUAUUUAUACACUUUAUUGAAUAAAAAUUUCGAAUGAA
Molecule: long non-coding RNA, 2957 nt
Organism: Ochlerotatus camptorhynchus
Lineage: Eukaryota; Metazoa; Arthropoda; Insecta; Diptera; Culicidae
Exons: 2
Source: RefSeq, a predicted model, not a curated record